This 387-nucleotide ribosomal RNA is filed under the name uncultured bacterium. RNAcentral's name for it is "bacterial SSU rRNA". It matches the Rfam family "Bacterial small subunit ribosomal RNA", at positions 29 to 442 of the family's 1533-position model. The record is from RNAcentral.
AACGAACGCUGGCGGCAUGCCUAACACAUGCAAGUCGAACGAAGCCUUCGGGCUUAGUGGCGCACGGGUGCGUAACGCGUGGGAAUCUGCCCUCGGUUCGGAAUAACAGUUAGAAAUAGACUGCUAAUACCGGAUGAUGACGAAAGUACCAAAGAAUUUAUUCGCCGAGGGAUGAGCCCGCGUAGGAUUAGCUUGUUGGUGGGGUAAGUGGCCACCAAGGCGACGAUCCUUAGCUGGUCUGAGAGGAUGAUCAGCCACACUGGGACUGAGACACGGCCCAGACUCCUACGGGAGGCAGCAGUGGGGAAUAUUGGACAAUGGGCGGAAAGACCUGAUCCAGCAAUGCCGCGUGAGUGAUGAAGACUAGGUGUAAGACUCUUUUACCUA